GGUUCGAAUCCCUGCAAUGGGGUGAGCUCCCAUUGCUCGGUCCCUGCUCCUGCCAACCUAGCAGUUCGAAAGCACAUCAAAGUGCAAGUAGAUAAAUAGGUACUGCUCCAGCGGGAAGGUAAACGGCGUUUCCGUGCGCUGCUCUGGUUCGCCAGAAGUGGCUUAGUCAUGCUGGCCACAUGACCUGGAAGCUGUAUGCCGGCUCCCUCGGU
This is a non-coding RNA of Podarcis lilfordi (Lilford's wall lizard), 212 nucleotides long. The record is from the annotation of a GenBank genome assembly. NCBI's taxonomy places the organism in Eukaryota, Metazoa, Chordata, Lepidosauria, Squamata, Lacertidae.